GUGGCCACCCUCGUUGCUGUGGGACAUCUGUGCAAAUGUCUUCUCCCACUUUCCAAAAGAGCAAGCAGCACUCCACCCACCAGUGUGACUCUCAACCCAUGUAAA
Molecule: long non-coding RNA, 105 nt
Filed under: Pan troglodytes (chimpanzee)
Lineage: Eukaryota; Metazoa; Chordata; Mammalia; Primates; Hominidae
Description: lincRNA
Source: RNAcentral